This 13947-nucleotide long non-coding RNA is filed under the name Gallus gallus (chicken). Lineage: Eukaryota; Metazoa; Chordata; Aves; Galliformes; Phasianidae. The record is from RNAcentral.
AAGGAUUUCUGGGAAGACAUGGAAGAACUCAUUGGGGCAGGUGUUGAGUGGGGAUAAGGAGAAGGGCAGCUUGUGAUCAGAUUACAGUUCUGAAUUUGCUGUUAUAGCUAAGUGAAAAUGUCUUUUUCUCUCUGGAAAUGUCUGGCUGUGUAGCCAUCUCUCUCUUUUGCUGAAAAGCAAGGAGCUGACAGGAUGGAGUGCAUCUAAGUUGAGAGUGUGGGCUGAUGACCAGCAUUAAGGCACUGACAUCUUCAGCUAACCAAGUACAGGAACAGGAGGCGUGUUCCAGCACAGCUGCAGGCUGAAACUGUUUCCUCAGUCUGGCAAGUUCUCUUGUGUGUCGCCCUCCUGAUGGGAACUGUUUGUUAGAGCUUUCAUUUGCAAAUCUCUAACUUAUGUCAUGGAUCUUAGGGUUGUCCUGUACAGUCUGUCAACAGCAACAUCAGGUACAGCCUUGUUCCUGACAAGGAGGUAUGAUUUAGUGGAGAAGCUGAGCGGCUUCUCAUCUCCACUUUAAUUCUGUCUGAGUUGAGUAUGAAUGUGCCUGGUCGCUGAACACCACCCUAUUCCUCAGCUGAGUCCAGCUCAGACUUCAACUCUGUGUCAGUAUGGGAUUAGCUACAGCAAUGACUAAAGGGGUGCUGAAGUACAGCUCUUCCUGGAUCUUCUUUUGGCUUUUUGCUGCUAGAACAAUAUAGCAGAAGAGCAUCUUGGGACAGUCGGAGAAUCUUGGUCAGAACUACUAAGAAUAGAAGAAAACCCUAGAAGAUUAGAGUAUUGAAGAAAAGACCAGUUUUCAAAAGCAAGUGCUGACUCACCCCUCCCAGAACCUAAAGUUCAGUCAUUCUCCACAGAAGCAGCAUUAUUUUCAUGGCUGGUGAGUGGGCACAAAAUGCACAACUAUAGCAUUGUUGGAGGAAGAAUCCACAGUUCAGUAAACUAGAUGCACUCCUUAGCAGCCAGUGCUAUGCAGCACCCUUUUAACACGUGAGAGACUUAGCUCUGCUUGGCCUGUGGCUAGCCUCCUUGGCUCAGUCCUCUGCAAGAGAUAUCACCCUUCUCCAGUGCCUGUUUCCCUCUCUGCAAGACGAGUUAUUCAACCCUCUCAGCUUGUAGCUUCCUCUCACAAUCUGUUUUUAAUGCAGCCAGAUGGUCUGCACUCACCCACACUCUACGUAGGCACCUUCAGCUCCCUGCACUUGGAUAGCACGCUCAUCUGACCUGCCGGUGGUCAGGUCUGCCAUCUGCCCUGGGGAGAGUGGUAAAUGUUAACAUUCUUGGGAGGAAGGCAGAGGCGAGGCAGCCUGGGUAUGAUGGACGUCUUCAGAAAGGCACUGAGAAGUCAGUUGGGCAGCCCAGCUUGUGUGAGAGGGGAGGCUCUCUGGCCAGAUUGCUAUGGGCUCUCUGCACAGACUAUCCCUGAAACUAAAGCUGCUUGAGCCUAGGAAACUGGCCUAUCCCGCACUGUUUAAUCAGUGGUGCUUAGCUCUGGUCCAUGUUCCUUAGACAUGGACUUCGGUCUAGUGCCAUUCAGUCAGCUUCUGUCACAUUCACACUGAAAGCUUGGUUGCUCUCAUUUCAGCUUUGGGUUUAUUGAAAACAUUCAGUGCGUAUACAGGAUUAAAAAAUUAUCCAGUACAAUGGGUAACAGUGAAUUGCCCUGAUAUUUUCUGUAUUGCCAAGUUAUUUUGGAGACAACUUCACCUAUCUUGUGGGGGGGGGGGGGGGGGGAAGCAAUUCCAGAUUCCUCCCUUAUUCCUCCCUUAUGCUACUGCUGAGACAAGACAUACCAUACCUUCACUGCAUCACUGUAACUGCAGUAUGCUGCAGGUUAAGGUUAGAGUUAUGAGAAACCUUCCUUUUGAUAAUGUCAGUUUUAGCUUAUGUAAAAACAGUCUGCAUUUUUCUUGUUUGAGGUAUGGGUCAAACGAAAGGGCCUAGACAGACUUGCACAAUGAAUGUUUAAAUAUUACAGUGAACCAGCCUGGAAAAUGUUUACGUGAUAGACAUGAAGCAAAAGGACACAAUAGAAGGGAGGGAUGCCAUCCAGAGAGACCUAGACAUGCUCGAGAAGUGGGCACAUGAGAAUCUAGGGAGGUUUAACAAGGCCAAGUGCAAGGUUUUGCACUUAGAGGGAGGUAAUCCCAUAUACAGGUACAGACUAGGAGAAGAACUCAUUAAGAGCAGCCCUGUGAAGAAGGGCUUGGGUGUCCUGAUGGACAAAAAGCUGGACAUGAGCCAGCAGUGUGUGCUUGCAGCCCAGAAGGCCAAUGGAAUCCUGGGCUGCAUCAUAAGAGGAAUGGCCAGUAGAGAGAGAGGGAGGGGAUUGUUCCCCUCUAUUGUGAGCUCAUGAGGCCCCAUCUGCAGUACUGCGUCCAAGCCUGGGGCCCCCAGUGUAAGAAGGAUAUGGAGCUGUUGGAGCAGGUCCUGAGGAGGACCAUGAAGAUAAUCAAAUGGCUGGAGCACCUCUCCUAUGAAAAAAGGUUGAAGGAGUUGGGCUUGUUUAGCUUGGCGUAGAGGAGGCUCUGGGGAGACCUCAUUGUGGUCUUCCAGUACUUAAAGGGUGCUUAGAAGCAGGAGGGAGACUGACUCUUUACACGGUCUGAUAGUGACAGGACAAGGGGUAAUGGCUUUAAACUAAAAGAGGGUAGAUUUAUGUUAGAUGCUAGGAAGAAUUUUUUUACUUAGAGGGUGAGGAAGUAUUGGCACAGGCUGCCCAGAGAGGUUGUGGAUGCCCCAUCUCUGGAGGCAUUCAAAGCCAGGUUGGCUAGGAUCCUGAGCAGCCGGAUCUGGUGGCUGGCAGGGGUUUGGAACUAGAUGAUCUUUAAGAUCUCUUCUAACCUAAGCCAUUCUACAAUAAGAGGUUCAUAAACCUGGAAUAACCAUUUGUCACUAAAAUCAAAGCACCAUGCCUCUGAACUGGACAGCACUACAAACUAGUCAGUGUAAGAGUCCAAGUGUAAGAGUCCAAGACUACCCAUAUGUGAUGCUGUGACCUGGUCUGUUAGUAAAUAGGAUUUGAAUAAACAGCUCUCUCUUCUCCUCCUUCCAUCCAAACUUUCCUGGCACAAUUAGCUAAAAUCUGUUCUUUUUGUGGCCAAGUUCACAGCAGUAGUUAGCAGGGAUCAGCUGACAGUCAAGUCUGUUCGCUCUCUGGUCAAUUUGUCAUUCUGUGGAGUACUGGCAACAGAAAAGCACCAGGUUUCUGCUUAAUAGGUACAUCUCAGUUCUGUGCUUCCUGCGAUGGGGGUGGAUUAGUGUCAGGACUGCAGCUUUUGUGUGCAGAAAUGGUCUCGACCUGAAAUGCUGUGGUUACCUAGGCUGUACUGCUAUCAGCCCAUAAAUCCCUAUGGAGACUUCAUGCUGGGAGGAAGUCAUGGGGAAGAACUCUCCCUCAAGUCCAAAGUAAAAUCGUCAAACUAGGUUCCAUAUACACCUGGUUUGUUCUGACCAGCAGUAGCCCCAGGGAACUUGCUUUGGCUGUAAGACUACCAUUUGCACUGAACAGAGCUUCAUCAUGAAUUUGUUUCAUCUGGAAGAAAGAUAACACUGAACAGAAUCGGACCUUUUGUCUGUUUUCCCAGUCUUCUUUCAGUUUCUUCUGUCAUGUUUGAAAGUCAGGAAGAAUUUCGGCUACUCUCCUUCGUAGCUGGUUCCUCCUUUCCUCUCUCUCUCUUUCCUUUUUCAUCAGUAGUGGGUACUGCCUCCAAGCCUUGAAUGCAUCAAGCAUGAGUCUCCUGAAAGAAAUCAGGGAUGUAAAGAACAGAGUCCCUAGAUGUGUGCUUAGUGCACCAGAUAAAAGAUGACUUCUAUUUGAGGGGAAUUUCCCCUCAAAUACCUGUGGGAUUGAACCUUUCUGCAGCUAAUUGGAACUAUGACACCUUGAACCUGUGCAUGUAUACCAUUUCAUUAAUAUGUCAAUCAUCAGAGGGAAAAACUACACAUUGCUUUUCUCCAUCCCUCUCCCACAAGGAUUUUGCUCUUCCCUCUGACAAGAUUCAUUAGCCUGUGUGUGUUCAGCACUCUGAAGACAAAAAAAAAAUGUUUCUUUAAGAAUAAACGGGGUCUCUGAAAACAACUUAUUCAGGAGAAGCAUGAAUGGAAAAUACGGGUUUGUUCAGUCCAGAUCAACUACAUGAGAACACAGACAGCUGGACUCCAUUUCUUAUCUGAGUUUAAGCACCCCACCAAGGUACUUUGCUCUGGGUUCCCGUGCAGUCUAUGGGGAGCAACCAUCCCUUUUAAGGAACAGCUCACAGCUGAGCUCUGAACUGCCUCUUGUCAGCCACUGGAGGAAGAGGUAAUGAGGCAAACUGUGUGACUAUGCUCCUAACGCAGGUCGCACUGCAGAAUGAAUCUGGUCUCUUCCUGCAUCUGAAUUCUCCCUGACUCCUCCAGUUUGCUGGUUUGUUAGGUUAAACCAUGCCUUGUUCUGACCCUACUGACUUAGCAAGUUAGAACAGCUUUGCUAUAUUAUAUAAGAGGUGAUCCUGGCAGAUCCUGUUUGAGGUGUACACAAGCACAUCCCUAUUGGUGACUGUGUGUGGCUGACACACAUUCAUCGUCAGGUAGGUGAGCAUGUUUUUGUUUUCUGCUGAACUUCGACAGUAGUUCUGUCUGUUCUGUUAGUUAACUCUCUGUUAAAAGGCAAAGUUGAUGCAGCUGUGGGACAAUAAGUGAAAUGGCUGCAUCUAGCUCCAAUUGUGAUCAGUAGAACUGUUUGCUGUGUUUCUUCCUGUCAAAUCAGGCUGAUGAUGGCAGAAACAGAAAGAUUCCCUAAGUAGGGUUUCUAGUUAAUCAACUCUGGAUUUGUAAACCAAAUCAUUCACUGUGGACAAAACAAUACAAUGUAAUUCCUGCACAAUCAUUGCUUGGUAUAACCGCACUUAGAGAUUUUCUGCGUUUAAUGGAAGCUGCGCGGCCCAAUCUGCUAAUUAACUUAGAAAGUUUCAGCCACUUAACUGCUUUCACUGUAUUUUCUUCCAGUGGGUUUAAAAGUCCUGCAAAGGAUAUGACUAAACUUUCUUUUCUGGGCUGUAUGGGCCUUUUUUAUUCUUUUUUUUUUUUUUACCAUAAAUCUCUGCUGAUGUUGUCUGUUCAUAUCACAGAAACAAAAUACCAGCAGUAUAUAACCCACUUCACAUAAUCUUGGGAAGAAGAUCACUGCCCCAUCAAAAGCAGAAUCUCUAAAAUAUUCUAUGGGGUAGAAUUAAACCUGUGUAUAAGAAAAACUGCUGGCAAGGGAAUGUGCUUACUUGUUACAGUGAUCAGUAGCAAUCUUCAGCUUCUCCCUUAAGGUGCUUUUUUCCUCCAUGGUCAGAUCAAACCAUGCCCAGAAACACUUCCUCUUAAGACAGACUGCAUGGAGAGUAUUUGCUUUCUCCUCCAGAGUGGAGAGGUAAUCUCUGUACUAAGGAAGGAAGACAGAAGGAGGUAAGAAUGGCAGCUUCUUCCCAGAUCACCAUCCCAAUAAACGCAUACAGAGCAGCACUGAGACAGUGGCUGUGAAGGAUAACAGGAACAGGAGUUGGAUGAAAAUCAGCGGGAAACAGGGAUAGAGUGUGUAAAAUGGAUGUGGGGAGUGUAGAGUGUCCUAAACUGAAGAGAAUGAUGUGGAGAGCUGAAAGAAGGUCUCUGAGAAAGGGAAUGGUGAUGCAGGAAAGAGGACAGCAUAACCCAGCAAAGGCUAGGCUGCAGGUGUGUAAAUAAGUGUUGUGAUGAUGGGAAAGUAUGGCACUAGCAGGCUCCCUUGGUGUUGUUUCUCCGUUGUGGAGUAGGCAAACCUUUAGCCACCUCCUGAAGCACCAUCUGAUCAAUGUGUGGGAGAAGAAAUCCUCAGCCCAAGACACUUUCUCCAUGAGUCUCUCCUGGGUGUGCUGAAACCAACUCAUCAGGCAUUUCCUCUGCAGACUCAAGCAGUGGUGUGUUUGGGCCACCUGAACAAAGGCGACAGAAAAGGCAGCUGGUUACUUGGACCAGCCUGUGUCCUGAAAACCAGAUACAGUAGUAUAUUGCCCAGCUCUUGGAGACCCCUAAAAUGCCGUUGCCUGACAACUGGAACAACUUGCACGGCAAGUUCCCAAAAGCAGGGAAUGCUGAGUCUUUCCUAGAUAAAAUCCUUUUGAAUUUGAUACACAGUUUGACCUGCUGUGGAGCAGAGGCAUGGCCUUAGCAGUUUAGUCUAACUCAAUCCUUAAGGCUGAACAGCAGGACGGACUUUCAGAGCAUCUGCUAUCCUUCUGCUUCUUCCCAGCUGGACACCUAUGUGAAUUGGGUUGAAUACUGUAAGUAGCUCCUGUGACUUAAAAUGGAAGUUUGCCAGUUUAGCCCUGGGCUUUGGCUAAAUCUUCAGGAUACAGUUGAGUGUUGUUAGCCUACCACUGUUAAGGCAUGCCAACUCAGUCACAUACAGAAAUAUUUUGUUAUCAAGAUAUAUGUGUCAGGGUCUCAGAAACUACUAGUUAUUCUGCACUGAAGGUGUGGUAAGGCUAGAACAGGUGACUUUUGGUCACUUGGAUUAUCAUUUGUGUUUUACCUCUAGCAGUGCCCCACACUGGGCCAGCACUGCCUCCAGAGAGAAUGAAACUCCUAGUGAUGGGCUGACAUUUAACUAAAUACAACAGCUUAGCAGUAUCUUAUUAACUAGCUUUGCUGUGAUCUAGGUGCAAAAGAACUGACAGGUUCAAAUCAUACAACUUCAAUUUAUUUUUUGGGGGCUUUAUUAUUUUUUUGGGCUAAACUAACUUUACUGUGUUACUGGCAUUGAGUCAAGUGGCAGUUAAUAUUGCAGGCAAGUAUAAGCUAACAAAAGAGGACUUCUCAUUAGAUUGAGAUUCAUUCUUUUCUCUGUCCUCUCGGCUCCCGUUUAACCAGCUAUAAAUGAGAAUAUAAAAAACCCACAAGUGUGAUGACCUUCCAUGAUUAUUGUCGUAUGAGUUCAUUUAAAACCCCAAUGUAGGGCAUGGUGUGCAAGAAUUUUUUCUUUGCCCUAAAAGCCCGUUAAGGUUUCUGCUACUCCAUUCUUUUUCCCUUCCUCCCAUGGCACCAGACCUUUCCUUUAUCCACAGCGCUUACCAUCAGGUUUUCCUUGGCCUGCUCUCUUAGCUUCUUCCAUGGCACCAUUCCCAGUUUUCUCAGUAGGGCCUUCUCAUAGUGAUCUCUGGCCUUUUUCUGGAGCUGCUGCUCUUUCUCCAGCCUUCUCUGCUUCUCCAGCUCUUUCUACAGUGUGAAGAGUAGUAGUUUUAAUUCAGUCUAGAUGAAAUGAACAUUAAGGUUGUUGUAUUGGAACUGGAGUUCCUGACAGGAAGUAAGGGUCUGCAUUAUCUUUAGCAGUGCAAACUAGACAUGAACCAGUAGAAGAAAGCAAGCUGUCUUGAAAAUCUGCAUGGAAGAUGAUGAUGAUAUCUAGACAUUUCUUUGGGCCCUAUCUGAACACAGGGCGUUCCCUCAGUGCUGCAGUCCGGUGUUACAGUAACACUCCAUAUAAUCCCUGGCUGCCAGCAGUGCUCAUGUAACAACCUCCUCCUCCUGCCUGGCCCUCAUCAAUGUGAAGAGGAGUGCUUUGGUGAGCUCAAAGGGUAGUUUUCUGUGUUUAUGAAAUUCUGUACAAAAAUGAUUGUCUUAUCCAAGGAACCCAUCACUUAAUCUAGCUUAAACACAGAAGAAUAGGGAAGGUAUGUGGGUAUUACAUAACUGUACAGUAUUACUUCUGGUUGAGACACAGAGUUAAAGGUCAAACAUUCUAAAAUGGUCCAAGUAGAACAGCAUUUAUAGAUCGGAUUCCUGUGGGAUUUCAAGUGUGGUGCUGUUUGGGUUACUAGGGCAGCUCAUUUGUAAGUAACAAGACUCAUGUGGGGCUAUUCCUAGGCUGCUGGAUAUUGCUAGCUCCAAGGAGGGAAUGCUUCUCAUUCUUUGGAUGGAAGGUUGCCUUUGAUACAUCUGUCAUGCUUGUUUACUUCUAAAUUGUGUGUUUGUGACUGGUAUUAUUGUGUUGCUGGAGGAGCCUACAAUUGGAAGGAGCAGCCUGAGAAUAGCCCAAACACACCCCUCUUUGGGGGUUACGUGGCCAUAGGUCAGCACUGGAUGUUCACCACAUGGGAUCUCUAGUCUGGCUGCUGAGAUAGGGAAGGUAUAUACCUCAUGCAUUUGGCCAACAGCCCUUCUAAAAUUGCUAGAAAGGGAGACAGUGGUGAGUUGAUACAUUUGGUGCUGUGAAAUGCUUCUCUACUAACAGAGAUCUUUAGUUUACACCACUGGCCGCUGACUGAGUGCAAGUGAGUAAUGGCUCUUCCCUAUCCUUGCUGAAGUUGGGGAGACAGAUGACAUGUUUGAUCACCAGCUUCUGCUGCCUCUUCUCCUCUCGUCUCUUUUCUUGCUGAGCUUCCCUUUCCUCAGCCUCCUUCCUCUGAUGUGCUUCCUCUUCAGCCUUCAGCUGGGCCUUGGAACGCAUAAAAUAGAUAUAACUUAGUUCAGUGUACGUGACCUUUUUGGAGAACACAGGCCUCUAAACUUCCCCUGGACAGUUAGUGUUCUUCUGGUACUGACUAGUAUCUGAAACUCCAGAAAGAAGCAGACUUUGUCACAUACUAGACGUGAUGCAUGUUGGACAAAGAACUGUGUGGAAGAGAAGAGGAAGGAGGGACUGUUCUUUCUACCACCUGUACGUGGCCAUCUUUCUUUGCCAUAGGUUAAUAUUCACCUGUGACCCUUGUCAGUCUCAACCUGCUUUCAUUCCAUAAAUCUCUUGAUUUUUGGCAUAUGCAUCAAAGGUCUAAAACCCACAUCACCGUGCAUGAUUGCAAUGACUGUGAUUCCUCUAAUCUCUGAAGAAACCUAACCUAAAGCUUGUCUGCCCACCCUAUUGUUAAAGAGUUGUCUAAGGCUUGCUUAAGUUUCCAGGUGUGGAUGUGCAUCCUUCUUCCUUGGCAAAGAAAGAAACACUGGUUGUUUUAGGACCCUGGUUCUUAGCUUUCUAUUCCUAAUGCAAAUUAGUAUUAAUGCUCUCAGUAACAGAUUUAAUUAAUGCCUUGAAGCUAAGAAGGCUCCUCUGUUAGAUGUGUAUCAUGGAAUUUCUAUAUUAACUAUGCAAACUUAUCAGUAUCUUCUCUUUUCAGCAGAGAUUUGCUAGAAACCAAGGUGCAGGAUUUUUACUAGGUUAGUCUGCAUGUCUUCAAGCUGCACGUGACUUCCAGUCUUCCCAUCCUUGGCAAGGACAGUUAAGGUCAUAAGUAAGUGUGAAAAAGUACUGGAGGGUGAUGAGGGAGACUGCUUCUAGAAUUGCAGCUGCAUCAACACAGUGAUAUGUGAUAUGGAAAGGCUAGUUGGUUCCCUGAACACAAGUGUAGCAGGAAGUCUUGGUGUUUUUUUUUAGUGUAUUCUGGACAUCUGCUUUCUGACAAGCUGUACAACUCCAUUUAGAUACUAAAGGGCUUUUUCUUGGUCCCUAGACUUUUGAGGUUAGAACAGCAUUUCUUGUCACUGGAAUAGUGUGAAAGUUUUUCAUUUUUCCCACUGUCCAUACCAGUUUUUCCUCUUCUCUUCGUUGUUUAGCCUCUUCUAGUUUCCUCCUCCGUUCUGCCCGCUGAAUUGCUCUCUCCUCCAUAGCUACGGAAACAGAAACAAGAGGACAUAACACAAAUGAGCUAUAGGGUAAUGGUACAAGUUUGGUGAACAUGGAGGAUGACCCCUCUCCUGCCAGGUCUCCUCUUGACCUGGCAAUGCCAGCACUAAGGAACUUGUUUUCAGCUGCUUUAAAGCUGUCAGUGUCAUGAAAAAGGAACCCACAAAUCUGUGUAAGACUCAGGACUGCCCCACUUAGUGUCACUCCACCUUCCUUGGUUGACAGUCACAGCUAUGAGGUUGCAUUAUGAAAGGAGCUGUGUCCAGAAGUUUCAUCCCAGAAUUUCCUGAUUGGUUGCCAAAGAUCAAGGAACCUAUUUAGCAGCAGUCACAACAAGGUCUCCAGGAAACUCCAAUUGCUUACUUAAAGAGUGACUGCAUUAUAGAAAGUGUCUCUGCCAUGGUGACACACAGGUACUCAGUCCCAUUAGUGUGAAAACUACUGCUUAAUUCUUCUGGAAGGUAAGCUGCAGUGCAGCAGUGUUGCAGCUAUCAGUGGUUAGUCUAACAUGACAUCACAGCACAUGCAGUGGAGCUUAGAACCUGUGCUCACUCCCCUUGCAGUCGCAAACAAAGCAUAGGCUGGAGCAGUCCAAAAUUGUUUGGACAACAACAGGUUGCCUCAAGUUCUUUUCUCCUAUCAGCUGUGCCAGGUUUCUCUUCCAAGGGAGAAUAUCUAGUGACAGCUUUGCCCCUAACUACUUAAGGAUCUCUAAAGAAAAGCACUUGAGUGCUUUGGAAAUACCCUUACUGUCUUCAAGCUGUACAGAUCUCAAAGAAAUGAGAGUGAUGGCUUGCAAUAAGAAGCAUGGGAACUGAACACAGUCAGUUGUAAUGAAAGGUAUCUAUUAAUGCCUAGCCAUCAUAGCCAAAAUUACUCUGGAGAUUCUCAAGACUGUUGAAACAUCACAUACUAGACAGUCUUUCCUGCAGACUGUGACCACCCCUAGGUUAAUAUGGAAAAACAUAAGUUAAGGACAUAGCAGAACCUGAUCUUAAUAUACUGUAUGAAAGGCUGUGUUGCAUGUUUAGCAUGUGCAUGCUGUUCCAGUAUGGCCAGAGAUGGGCAGAUAACUCACAGAAGACAAGCAUCUGGUGCUUCUUCUCCAGCCUACCAUUGUCUCUGAAAAUCUUAGGUAAGUACUUAAUUUCCCUGGAAAUUCUUAAUACUUUUGUCAAAGCUGAGUUAAAAUAAGCAGUUAGCUUAAGUGUUACUUGAAUGUGCGGUGAAGGGAAUGAUAGCAAAAUAACUUGUAGAGCUUUUUUCAAGUGAUUGUUUCUAGUCUGACAAGACUCAGGUGUUAGGUAACAACUGCUACAACAUACUGAGCAAGGGCUUGCAGUAGCCUACAUUCUACAGAUGCCUGACUUAGCCAUGAAAACAACUUAAUCUCUCCCAGAGCUGGCCAGGCUAGAAAACAGUGUUGAGUUUUACUUGCAUACUGUUCUCAACCAGCAAGGUUGAGGUUAAUAAACACAAGUUUACAUGAGUUUUUGAAAAAAGUAGCCUAGAACGGUCUUUGCUGUCUAGAAAAAUACCUUUCACUAUGGGAUGAGUUGAGGUUGGCUGGCUGGAGGGCCUCUUGCCUUGCGUUGCUGCCUUUGUGUUCUUUGGCUCAGGAGAAACAGGUAGACUAUGAAAAGGAAGAGUAAAGAAAUUAAUGAAUAUGGUCAAAUGUUGUCUCAAGCCUACCACCUAUGACUGAGAAACAGGCCUUAUAGUUUCUAUUCUCCAUUGUGCUGAAUUUUCAUUGUAGGUCCCUGAUAUACCUUUCUUCUGCCCAAAAUGUGAUUAAGAAUGCAUUCUUACAAAAGAGAUGAGUACCCAGAGCUGUUACAUAUUCUGAAAUACUCGGUAUGACAAUCUCUCUCCUAACUAAAUAAAUCCAUGCUGCUACUAUGUGUAACACUAGUGUUGCUGUUUCUAAGUAGACCUUGUAUAGAUCGUGUGCUGUCAAGCAAAUGCAAAAACAGAGGAUGGAGAACUGUGGCUAGACUGAUACUGCUUGAAGCUGUCACUGCUAAGAGGAACAGCAGAUAGCAUUAAUAUGAUGGAAAUAUCCCAGUCAAUUUGUGUUUCUACUUGAGUAGGAAUGAGACAUGAUGACUAAUUGAGCCUGCUUUAUCUAGGACCUGUACCUCAAAGGGGUUGUAUUCUGGUAUCUGGAUUGUUUUCUGCUCUUCAGUUUUUUCUCCCUGGUUUCUGAAGCAGAGUCAGGUGCCUGGCUUGCAGCUGUGGCUUGCACUGCCUCUUCUUUUGCUCUGCUCAGCCUCUGAUUUUCUUGCAGUUCAAGGAUCAGCUCUUGCUGUUUCUGAAGCUGCUGCUUCUGCUCCUCAAUCAGGUGUUGCUGGAAGGUGUGAUGGUGCUCAAAACAGCUACUGUAAGGAGGAGCUGUCUUUGGGCUGGGUGCUUGAAACUGCUUGGGAAGACCAGCUAUUUCAUUCCUGUACAUAACCUGGUCCUGGGCACUCAGGGCUGCAUGUUUUAGGGUGAUCUGCCACGCAAACUUGGGUUUUCUAUAAGAAGGAGAUGUGUGAGCAGCAUCCCCACAAGAGUGGUCUCUGCUCUGGUCAGGUUCUUCCUGAAUCAGGCAUGUUUUGGUCAGCUGGGGAAGGGGGUGAGGAAAAAAAAACAAGAAGAUUUGGCAUUAAUUAAAAGCAAGCUUUCUUCUGCCUGUUAUACACACUAUUACUUUAAUGAAAAUCUAGCAAGAUUCCUGAGAAGUAGAACAAUCUCAUAUUUACAGUCUUUAUCUUGUUCCUAGCCAGGGCAGAGGGGCCUGGUUAUGCACAAAAUGGGAGGAUGUUGGGGAAAAACUAUUUUAAGAAGCUGUGUGCCAUUUCUCUGCAAGGAGGAAACCCCGAUCAGGCAAGAGUUCUGGCAGGAACAUAUCUCUGUUUUGUUAGGGAGCACAGCGUGGGACAACUGAUUUCUCAGGGGUUAGCCCAUCUCUCAAUUAGCACACUCCCUUUUGGACUCUGCUGUCCCUUUUCAGUGCUCAGACUGAGGCAAAACAGUUGUUGAAAAUGAAAUACAAGUGAUCUACAAGGCUCAUCUACUUGACAGCUCCCUUUCAGAUGGGAGAAUAGUCUACAAAGGGCAACUACAUCUUGCCUCCUCUCCAGAUUUGAUCAGGUAUUACUGUGAAACCGGUGCAUGGUGGGGAAUCAGGCUUGCCUCCUCUGGCACAAGUUUUAUUCAGAAGAGGCAUGAGAUAUCUGAUUUGCUUACUGAUUUCUAGGUCAAACUCCAAAUUUGGUCCCAUCCUUCCAGCACAACCUUUAUGCAAGCAUCUAAAGGAAAGUACUGACCUACUGUGAUAAUAUAAACACAAUAGAAAAUCAAAUUUCACUGACACUCGAGCAAAUGAAAAGCUUGACUUGUAAAAUGUGUGAAUGUGUCAGGUUUCAUACUGGGUCCUGCUCUAUAGGUUUUACAGACAGAAAGGCAGGCUCUGACCCAACAAAAGAGAAAUUUAAGGAAGCAACCUCCAAUUCUCCCCUCUCCUUGUGGUGUGCAUUACCCUUAGAUAGCCACCGACACCUUUUUUUUCCCCACACUUCUGAAAAACCGGAGCGCUGUACUGACAUGACAAAAAUCUCUUGUCAUGCAGUCAAGUGUUAUUCUUUUUCAGUCUACGCAGGCAUUAAAGAUGUAACUAAUCUCUCAGCAAAAGCGAUCUGGGGGUGGGACUGCGACUCACAGUACAUGAAAGGUUGUUCUCUGGCAGCAUAAGAAAUUAGUUAUUUUUAAAACUCAUCCACUGUCCUUCACAGUUGCUUCUGUUCUUUAACAGCUUCCUUCCUGAACGGCUGUAGGUAGGUACUGGGAGGUAACCCUGGACAAGAAGCCUUCCUCUGGAACAGUGUGCUUUCUAUUUCAGACUGCAUAGAAGUACUUUGUGAAUGUAGUGGAAUGUCAGUAGACAAAAUUAUACACGAGACUUUACCUCGUCUUGCUGCAAAACUUGAUGCUGGUUUACUUUUGCUGUCUCAGACUUGCUGACUUCCAGCGUUCUGUUCAAGCCACUCUUCCCCAUUUCCCCAGACACUGCCGCCAGCAGCUUUGCCAUCUUCCUCUUUGUCUCCUCUCUCUUGAGUUGCAGCUCUCGCUUGUCUGCCUCUGCUUGGCUCCAGUGCUGCCAUGCCAGAAAGCAGCAGCGCAAAAGCCGCCGCUGGUUAUGCUCUGCCGACAGUUGGUUCUUCCUGUUUUGAUCUUGCAGAUGAAAUUCUAAUUGCUGCGUCUCCUGCUCUACUUUCUGGGCCCAUGUGUAGUUUCUCCAUGCUCGCAGGACCUUCUGUUGGCAUUUCCAAUCUGCAAGAGCUCUG